ACACGCGCUGCGCCUGCGCAGGGAGGAACGCGGGUUGGCUCCCGCUGCGUUCCUACCUGGAGGGUCCUGCCUCACCCGCCAUGCUUCUGGGCCGAGUUCAGUCCCUCACUCCGCCGAUCUGUACCUGCCACGGAUAUUUCUGUGUUGUUUCUCGUCUGCUGGUGUUUUCAUCGCGACCUUCCAAAUUCUGUGAAGAAGCCUCGAACACCCUUCAGACAGAUAGAACGUUCUUCACGAAAGCGACACUCCAACAGCUGAUUCUGUGGUCUGUGUUGAAAUAUGCAGAGAUGCCUCCCUCCUCCACCCUCCUGCUGCCUCCACGGAAGCUCCAGGGAGACCUGGUCUCGAAGGAGCUCAGCUUGGGCUCCCCGGCGCCCUGUGUCCCGUCAUCGGGCAGCAAUGCCAAGCGGUCCUCUGGCUCCAUCAUCAGGAGCCACGCUGUGGGAGCUCAGAAAUGCGCCUCAGAAUCAGACCCAGGUUCCUGUUUCCCACAUUCCCUGCUCUCCAAACUAGAGCUGGAUGGUGAGGAAUGGAGUUCCUGCCUCAUUUCAUUAAUUAGCUUAUAAUGUUCACAGUGGGCUGAGCACUCCCUUAUUUCAUCUUCAUAAGGAGUUUAUGAGGUAGGCGCUAUUAUUAUCCCACUUUGUAGGCUAGGAGACUGAGACACAGAGACAGAGGUAAUGCACCCAGGUCAUCUUGUUUUGUUACACGAUGAUACCAGUGGCCUCGGAGCCCAAGGACCUAAGAACUCUCUGUGUCUUUGGAGGUUUGUUUGACUUGGCUCAGUUGUGCCUCCAAUUUCGUAAGGACUCUGUAGCUUUGUCUUUAACUAAGGAACACCAGAAACAAGGCCCUGCUCAUUUUUUAUUUUUGGGUGAUUUACGUCACUCUGCAAGAGAGAGAAUUUCUGAGAGAUGCGUUUGAUUUUAAGAAAGCAAGAAGAUACUUGAUUUUGAACAAUUUGUUCUUCUUCUUUGUGCCCAACCCAAACAAGAUGACAGCAACCAUGAGGGCUGGUCAAUGUGAUUCCUGGGACACCAUGGGAGAUGGAAAUAAAAA
RNAcentral lists this long non-coding RNA (1059 nucleotides) under Mustela putorius furo (domestic ferret). Its description in RNAcentral is "lncRNA (ENSMPUG00000030699.1)". Lineage: Eukaryota; Metazoa; Chordata; Mammalia; Carnivora; Mustelidae. The record is from RNAcentral.